UGGCCACCAUGACUUUUCGUUUAGCUGC
This 28-nucleotide non-coding RNA is filed under the name Mus musculus (house mouse). Lineage: Eukaryota; Metazoa; Chordata; Mammalia; Rodentia; Muridae. The record is from RNAcentral.